Molecule: ribosomal RNA, 793 nt
Filed under: Monocystis agilis
Lineage: Eukaryota; Apicomplexa; Conoidasida; Eugregarinorida; Monocystidae
Description: bacterial SSU rRNA
Rfam family: Eukaryotic small subunit ribosomal RNA
Source: RNAcentral
AUCUGGUUGAUCCUGCCAGUAGUCAUAUGCUCAUUUCGAAGACUAAGCCAUGCAAGUCUAAGUAUAAGUUGUAUACAACGAAACUGCGAACAGCUCAUUAAAACAAUCAUCGUUUAUGUGGGUAAUUUUUACACGGAUACCUGUGUUAAUUCUGGAGCUAAUACGUGACUGAACAUCCAUUUGGAUGACACUUAUUUGGUAAGAACCAAACUGUGCAAACAGACUCUGGUGAUCCAUAAUAAGGUCGUGAAUCGCAUGGUGAAUGCCGGCGAUGUCCCCCUAAGUUUUUGACUUAUCAGCUAGACGGUANGGUAUUGUCCUAUCGUGGCAUUGUCCUAUUCGUGGCAUUGAGGAGUAACGGGAAUUAGGGUUUGAUUCCGGAGAGGGAGCCUGAGAAACAGCUACCAUUCCACGGAAGGCAGCAGGCGCGCAAAUUGUCCAAUCCCAAUACAUUGGGGAGACAGUGAAAAGAAGUAUCAAUGCAGGGCUUUUAGCUUUGCAAUUGGAAUGAGUUUAACCCAAAUGCCUUUACAAGUAUCAAUUGGAGGGCAAGUCUGGUGCCAGCAGCCGCGGUAAUUCCAGCUCCAAUAGCGUAUAUUAAAGUUGUUGCAGUUAAAACGCUCGUAGUCGAAACUUUGGUAAUAAUAAUGGGUUAUCUUUCGAGUAUGUACCUGUUGUUAUUACCAUUAUUCCGUGUAUGCAAGAGUUCGCUCUUGUAUUAUCGGAACUGUUACUUUGAGAAAAUUAGAGUGUUUCAAGCAGGCGCGAUGCUUUGAAUACUAUCCAUCACACU